RNAcentral lists this ribosomal RNA (1286 nucleotides) under Gymnophthalmus speciosus. RNAcentral's name for it is "partial 16S ribosomal RNA". It matches the Rfam family "Bacterial large subunit ribosomal RNA", at positions 38 to 2530 of the family's 2925-position model. The record is from RNAcentral. Lineage: Eukaryota; Metazoa; Chordata; Lepidosauria; Squamata; Gymnophthalmidae.
AAUUUUAAACCCAGCCUAACCACACUUUCGSCAAAAACACCACCACACCAACCAAAACAUUUGAACUAACCAGUAUAUGAGAUAGSGAAACUUAAACAUUAGCGCACCAGUACCGUAAGGGAAACAAGAAAGSGAUUAAUAAAAACUUAAAACCUAAAAAGCAGAGAUCAAACCACAUACCUUUUGCAUCGSAUGGUUUAACAAGACAAAAUAGACAAAGCGACACUGAUCUUUAGCCUACAGUGSCCCGAAAUCAAGUGAGCUACCCCAGACCAACUUAUAAGAGUCAACCCGUCACUGUAGGSCAAAAGUGUGGGAAGAGUCCAGGGUAGUGGUGAAAAGCCAAACGAACUUGACGAUAGCGSUGGUUGUCCGACAAAUGAAUAUUAGUUCAACCUUAAAUAAACUAUUUUAACCCGSUAAAUAACCAACUAUUUAAGAUUUAGUCACUGGGGGCACAGCUCCAAUGACCAAGGAUGSACAACCUUAUAUAGUGACAACUUAUUAUACCUCUCCACAGUAGGCCUCAAAGSGCAGCCAACAAAAACUCAAUGCGUUAAAGCAAUAAUAUUCCUAAUACCACACAGSUACACAAACUCCUACUCCUAACCGGACCAUUCUAUACCAUAGAAAUGGSACCCUGUUAAAACUAGUAAUAAGAAAUAUUCUCCAUAACGUAAGUAAAACUUAAGSCAGACACAACAAUGCACCAAAAAUACCAAAAUACAACAACCAAGCCAAACUGUUAACGSCCAACCCAGGAACGUAUAAUGGAAAGAUAAAAAGCUAUAAAAGGAACUCGGCAACAGSCAAGUCUCAACUGUUUACCAAAAACAUAGCCUUUAGCCAAACAAGUAUUAAAGGUGAGSCGCCUGCCCAGUGACUCAUUUAACGGCCGCGGGAUCCUCCACCGUGCAAAGGUAGCAUAGSAUCACUUGUCUCCUAAAUAGAGACUAGUAUGAAUGGCCAAAUGAAGACUUACCUGUCUCUGSUAUAGCCCAUCUAUUAAACUGAUCUUUCAGUACAAAAGCUGAAAUAAUAACACGSAAGACGAAAAGACCCUGUGGAACUUAAAGCCACAGUCAUACAAAUGACCUAACGSGCUUUUAGUUGGGGCAACUUUGGAAACAAACAAAACUUCCAAUUAACUGUCAAGAUAGSGACACAUCAAAACAUUUUGCCAUGACCCAGUACCACUGAUUAAAGAGSACAAAGCUACCCCAGGGAUAACAGCGCCAUCCCCUCUUAGAGCCCCCAUCGAUGAGCGGGGSGUUUACGACCUCGAU